Molecule: ribosomal RNA, 520 nt
Filed under: uncultured bacterium
Lineage: Bacteria
Description: bacterial SSU rRNA
Rfam family: Bacterial small subunit ribosomal RNA
Source: RNAcentral
GAGAGUUUGAUCAUGGCUCAGAUUGAACGCUGGCGGCAGGCCUAACACAUGCAAGUCGAGCGGUAACAGGACUAGCUUGCUAGUUGCUGACGAGCGGCGGACGGGUGAGUAACGCGUAGGAAUCUACCAAGUAGUGGGGGAUAAGCCAGAGAAAUUUGGUCUAAUACCGCAUACGUUCUUCGGAAGAAAGGAGGGGAUCUUCGGACCUUUCGCUAUUUGAUGAGCCUGCGUGAGAUUAGCUUGUUGGUGAGGUAAGAGCUCACCAAGGCGACGAUCUCUAGCUGGUCUGAGAGGAUGAUCAGCCACACUGGGACUGAGACACGGCCCAGACUCCUACGGGAGGCAGCAGUGGGGAAUAUUGCACAAUGGGCGCAAGCCUGAUGCAGCCAUGCCGCGUGUGUGAAGAAGGCCCUAGGGUUGUAAAGCACUUUCAGCAGUGAGGAAAGGUGUGUGGUUAAUACCCGCAUACUGUGACGUUAACUGCAGAAGAAGCACCGGCUAACUCCGUGCCAGCAGCCGC